Molecule: ribosomal RNA, 475 nt
Filed under: uncultured Negativicutes bacterium
Lineage: Bacteria; Bacillati; Bacillota; Negativicutes
Description: bacterial SSU rRNA
Rfam family: Bacterial small subunit ribosomal RNA
Source: RNAcentral
GAGUUUGAUCGUGGCUCAGGAUGAACGCUGGCGGUACGUCUGACACAUGCAAGUCGAACGGUAAGCCACCUUCGGGUGGCCUAGAGUGGCGAACGGCUGAGUAACACGUAGGAACCUACCCCUCAGUUCGGGACAACGGGACGAAAGCCCCGCUAAUACCGGAUAAUAUCGAAAGAUUGAUUACUGCUGAGGGAGGGGCCUGCGGGCUAUUAGCUUGAUGGUGGGGUAACGGCCUACCAUGGCGAUGAUGGCUAGCUGGUCUGAGAGGAUGAUCAGCCAGACUGGGACUGAGACACGGCCCAGACUCCUACGGGAGGCAGCAGUUCAGAAUCUUGCACAAUGGGCGAAAGCCUGAUGCAGCGAUACCGCGUGGGUGAAGAAGGCCCUCGGGUCGUAAAGCCCUGUCAGAGGGAAAGAUAAUGACGGUACCCUCUAAGGAAGCCACGGCUAAUUACGUGCCAGCAGCCGCCGUAAG